RNAcentral lists this transfer RNA (87 nucleotides) under Balneolaceae bacterium. RNAcentral describes it as "tRNA-Leu". It matches the Rfam family "tRNA". Rfam says of the family: Transfer RNA (tRNA) molecules are approximately 80 nucleotides in length. Their secondary structure includes four short double-helical elements and three loops (D, anti-codon, and T loops). Lineage: Bacteria; Pseudomonadati; Balneolota; Balneolia; Balneolales; Balneolaceae. The record is from RNAcentral.
GCGAGAGUGGCGGAAUUGGUAGACGCGCUAGAUUUAGGAUCUAGUACUUUAACCGGUGUGGGGGUUCGAGUCCCCCCUCUCGUACUA